UACGAGGGGGGCAAGUGUUGUUCGGAAUUACUGGGCGUAAAGGGCUCGUAGGUGGCCAACUAAGUCAGACGUGAAAUCCCUCGGCUUAACCGGGGAACUGCGUCCGAUACUGGAUGGCUUGAGUUCGGGAGAGGGAUGCGGAAUUCCAGGUGUAGCGGUGAAAUGCGUAGAUAUCUGGAGGAACACCGGUGGCGAAGGCGGCAUCCUGGACCGACACUGACGCUGAGGAGCGAAAGCCAGGGGAGCAAACGGG
RNAcentral lists this ribosomal RNA (253 nucleotides) under uncultured bacterium. RNAcentral's name for it is "partial 16S ribosomal RNA". It matches the Rfam family "Bacterial small subunit ribosomal RNA", at positions 524 to 776 of the family's 1533-position model. The record is from RNAcentral.